CCUCUCAUGGCGUAGGGGUAACGCGCCCUAACUAGAGAUAAGGAAGUCGUGAGUUCGAUUCUCACUGAGAAGA
Molecule: non-coding RNA, 73 nt
Organism: Aedes aegypti (yellow fever mosquito)
Lineage: Eukaryota; Metazoa; Arthropoda; Insecta; Diptera; Culicidae
Source: Rfam